AACAAAAACUUCCAGGAAGAUGGCAGAGUGGUAAACAACAACAAAUCAGCCUCUGCAAGAUUCAGAAACCAGACACUGGAAAAUAACAGCUUGGGGAAGACAAGAAGGAAUGAGGUGAAUCCCUGGAACCUAGGAAGGUUCCUAAAGAGAAAUUGAAGAGACAGACCACAACACAGAAAAAGGGUGAAUUGGUCCUGGUUCAUGGAUUGUGAGAAAGGAAAACUGAAUCUACAGAGACACAGUGAAAUCAGGUAACCAUAGAGGUGUUUAGGAAGAAAUGCACCAGUGAAAUGGAGCAGUGGAUGCUGUAUCCUACAACAGCUGGUGAACUCUGAAGAGACAGAAACUGGUUCUGCAGCAGUCAGAUGCUGAGGAAGUCCUCCCCUGUCCCCCUCUGUAUAACCGUAGUUCACCUCCUCUCCUGUCCAUCAUGACCCAUCUGGCCCCAGCUCCCUCAUUUUUUCCUUUAUGUCCCUUGCUACCUCUCCCUCCAUAUGAGAGCAUCUCCAA
RNAcentral lists this long non-coding RNA (510 nucleotides) under Heterocephalus glaber (naked mole-rat). Its description in RNAcentral is "lncRNA (ENSHGLG00000042360.1)". Lineage: Eukaryota; Metazoa; Chordata; Mammalia; Rodentia; Bathyergidae. The record is from RNAcentral.